GGAGGAAAGUAGGGGAUCGCAAGACCUUGCGCUUUUGGAGCGGCCGAUGUCUGAUUAGCUAGUUGGUGGGGUAAAGGCUUACCAAGGCAACGAUCAGUAGUUGGUCUGAGAGGACGACCAGCCACACUGGGACUGAGACACGGCCCAGACUCCUACGGGAGGCAGCAGUGGGGAAUUUUGGACAAUGGGCGAAAGCCUGAUCCAGCCAUGCCGCGUGAGUGAAGAAGGCCUUCGGGUUGUAAAGCUCUUUCAGUCGAGAAGAAAAAAUUGCGACUAAUAAUCGCAGUUCAUGACGGUAUCGACAGAAGAAGCACCGGCUAACUACGUGCCAGCAGCCGCGGUAAUACGUAGGGUGCAAGCGUUAAUCGGAAUUACUGGGCGUAAAGGGUGCGCAGGCGGCCUUGUAAGUCAGAUGUGAAAUCCCCGGGCUUAACCUGGGAAUUGCGUUUGAAACUACAAAGCUAGA
This 466-nucleotide ribosomal RNA is filed under the name uncultured ammonia-oxidizing beta proteobacterium. RNAcentral's name for it is "bacterial SSU rRNA". It matches the Rfam family "Bacterial small subunit ribosomal RNA", at positions 198 to 645 of the family's 1533-position model. The record is from RNAcentral. Lineage: Bacteria; Pseudomonadati; Pseudomonadota; Betaproteobacteria.